UACGUAGGCAGCAAGCGUUGUUCGGAAUUACUGGGCGUAAAGGGUGCGUAGGCGGCGCUCUAAGUUUGGUGUGAAAUCUCCCGGCUUAACCGGGAGGGUGCACUGAAAACUGGAGCGCUCGAGUAUGGGAGAGGAAAGCGGAAUUCCUGGUGUAGCGGUGAAAUGCGUAGAGAUCAGGAGGAACACCUGCGGUGUAGACGGCUUUCUGGACCAUCACUGACGCUGAGGCACGAAAGCGUGGGUAGCAAACAGG
RNAcentral lists this ribosomal RNA (253 nucleotides) under uncultured bacterium. RNAcentral's name for it is "partial 16S ribosomal RNA". It matches the Rfam family "Bacterial small subunit ribosomal RNA", at positions 524 to 776 of the family's 1533-position model. The record is from RNAcentral.